This 435-nucleotide ribosomal RNA is filed under the name Salmonella enterica. Its description in RNAcentral is "bacterial LSU rRNA". It matches the Rfam family "Bacterial large subunit ribosomal RNA", at positions 369 to 708 of the family's 2925-position model. The record is from RNAcentral. Lineage: Bacteria; Pseudomonadati; Pseudomonadota; Gammaproteobacteria; Enterobacterales; Enterobacteriaceae.
AGCCCCGUACACAAAAGCGUAUGUGCUGUGAGCUCGAUGAGUAGGGCGGGACACGUGGUAUCCUGUCUGAAUAUGGGGGGACCAUCCUCCAAGGCUAAAUACUCCUGACUGACCGAUAGUGAACCAGUACCGUGAGGGAAAGGCGAAAAGAACCCCGGCGAGGGGAGUGAAAAAGAACCUGAAACCGUGUACGUACAAGCAGUGGGAGCCCCACCACUAAGCCAGUGGUGAACUCCACAUACGCAUCCUUUGCUGAGGAUACGGUUAACGGAGCGAAAGCGACGUUCAACCGCAAAAGAAGCAGAGGGGGCUUAGUGGUGGGGUGACUGCGUACCUUUUGUAUAAUGGGUCAGCGACUUAUAUUCUGUAGCAAGGUUAACCGAAUAGGGGAGCCGGAGGGAAACCGAGUCUUAACCGGGCGUUAAGUUGCAGGGU